Molecule: long non-coding RNA, 523 nt
Organism: Eucalyptus grandis
Lineage: Eukaryota; Viridiplantae; Streptophyta; Magnoliopsida; Myrtales; Myrtaceae
Exons: 2
Source: RefSeq, a predicted model, not a curated record
ACUAGAGAUUCUCUUCACAAGUGUCAAGCUGAUGAAAGUGAUGAUGAGGACGAAGACAUCGAUCCCGUCUUUUACAGGGAUGAGGAUGAAUAUGGAUAAACUAGCGAUGAUACUGAUGUUGAGUAGAAGCUCUAAAUCUUAAGAGUGUGAAACUUGCUCAUGAUGGAGAUGCUCGCUUGGGGCAACUCACUGGUCAAGUUGCAGCUGCCCCAGGAGAAAUUCAGACAUAUGCUGCCGAUUUCGUGCCCUCCAAAAAUUUCUUAUCCCGACCACAUGUGCUGGUCCCAGGCAAUCACCAUGACGACAGAGACCACCAUAGACUAGCCGUCGUGGUAGUGUUUAUUGCCUUACUGUGGAUUAUGGCAUCUCUAUUUAUACUUUCCUGAAAAUUAUUUCUUCCAUUAUUCGAUCAUAUCAUCCGUCUAUCAGACACUCGAUUGAUUGUUUAUCUCUAUCUGUCCUUGUCUCCGGUGUUUUCUCAUACAAGGAAUAUGAUAUAAAAAAUCUGCAGGACUUCUUGUUC